GAGACACAUUUAAAAUGUUAGCUUCACUGUCAAAAAUAGAUAUGGAGUGGACUGUUUACUCAAUACAAUCUAAAUCUGAUACCUCACUGUCUGUCUUCUGACUGAUACUGCUUUUUAAACUGGUCUGGUCAGUCUACUCAAAUAUUUGUAAUUUACAUUUUGCUUUUUACAAGUAAUAUUAUGAACAUGUAUAAUAAUAAUACAUGCAUUCAUUUAUGAAUAGAUAUGUUGAAAAAUAUACUGCCACUAUUUUCACCACCAAAGAAUAUCAGUGUGAUUUUAAUAUGAUUUGACUCUUUACAGGCUGUCAGGCUGUCUAGUCACAGAGGAAGGCUGUGGUUCUCUGGUCUCAGCUCUGAGGUCAAACCCCUCACACCUGAGAGAGUUGGACCUGAGCUACAAUCACCCAGGAGACUCUGGAGUCAGACUGCUCUCUGCUAGACUGGAGGAUCCACACUGCAGACUGGAGAAACUCAAUGUGGAACAUGGUGGAGAGUACACAAUGAAACCUGGGCUUAGAAAAUAUGUCUGUGAUCUCACACUGGACCCAAACACAGUAAACAGACUCCUCUCUCUGUCUGAGGAGAACAGAAAGAUGACAUGGAGGAGAAAGAAGCAGCCGUAUCCUGAUCACCCAGAGAGAUUUGAGGUCUGGCCACAGGUGCUGUGUAGCGAGGGUCUGACUGGGCGCUGUUACUGGGAGGUAGAGUGGAGUGGGAGACAGGUUGGUAUAGGAGUGACAUAUAAAGUAAUCAACAGGAGAGGAGAGUUUAAUGACUGUUGUCUUGGAUACAAUGACAAGUCCUGGAGUCUGCGCUGCUAUGACAACAGUUACAUUGCCAGGCACAAUAAUAAACCCACUACCAUAGACGUCCCCUCCUCCAGCUCCCACAGAGUAGGAGUGUAUCUGGACUGGCCAGCCGGCACUCUGUCCUUCUAUAGAGCCUCCUCUGACACUGACCCACCUGAUCACAUUCACCUCCACAUUCACUGAGCCACUCUUUCCAGGGUUUAGGGUUUAUGAUGACUCCUCAGUCUUAAUAAUAACCUGACACACACACUGGACACACACUGGACACACACACACUGGACAAACUGACACACUCACACACACACAAUGACACACACACACACACACACACACACACACACACACACACACAAUGACACACACAGGACUCACACACAGACAAUGACACACACACACACACUGAACACACACACACACAGAAAACUAACAAACACACACACAUACUGAACACACACACACUGGACACACACUGGACACACACACAGACACGCUGGACACACACACUGAACACGCGCACACACACACACACCGGGGACACACACACACGGUACUGAAACACACAUGACAGACACACACACACACCUUACACACGCACACACACACCGGAAACACACUCACUGACACACACACACUGAACACACACACACACACACACUGAACACACACACACACACUCUGAACACACACACACACACACUGGACACACACACACACACACUGGGCACACACACUGGACACACACACUGGACACAAACUGGACGCACACACACAAUCACACACACACACACACACACACACACACUGGACACACACACACACAAUGACACACACCCACACACAGUGACACACACUCACACUGGACACACACACACACACUGGGGGGGGACAGACAGGACCCACACACACAAACACACACUAGACAGAAACACACUGGACACACACACCGGAAACACACACACACACACACACACUGAACACACACAAACACACACACACAGCGGGGACACACACAGGACUCUCACUCUGAUACACAAACACUGACACACACACACACAAAGAAAUGAACACACACACACUGACACACACACUCACACACACACACACACAGCGGACAAACACACACACUGGACACACACACGGAGACACACACGCUGGACACACACCGACACACACACAGUGUGAUUUUAUGAUAUAUUUUACUGUUUGUGUUUGUACCACAGGAGGUUGGUGGGACCUUAAUUGGGGAGGACAGGCUUGUAAUUGUUGGAGGGGAAUAAGUGGAAUGGUAUCAAACACGUGCUUUCCAUGUGUUCCAUUUCAUUCACUCUGUUCCAGACAUUAUUAUGAGCCGUCCUCCCCUCAGCAGCCUCCUCUGGUAUGUACUGUCCUAUAUGUGAGAGAGGUCCAACAAGGAAUUACAAUGUAUGUAUUACUUUUAAAACCUGAAAAUGGCAAAUGAACUACUUGAACUCCUUAUGAAUGUCUGCAGCCGACUAGGCUGUUGGCGUCUGACAAGAGGUGAAAAUAUUACAGGAAUAUUCUCCAAAUAUUGAUGACGACGUCACUCAAUACACCCAAAACAACAUGCAGUCUUUAAACAAGACUCCCAGGUGUGACGUUAUGCGUUGACGUUAAAGUAACAUUCUCAGAACAUACUGCACUUGUUUUAUACUGUUUUAGAUGGAUCCUCUGUUUAAACUCUUACAAAAACACCGUUAAAAUACCAAUGUGAUCAUUUUUGGUGCGUCUUUUAUGUUGAAUAACAAAUUGUACAAUUAUAUAUGGACAUAUGCUCCAUAGUUGUACAAGUAUACA
Salvelinus fontinalis (brook trout) is the source of this 2626-nucleotide long non-coding RNA. RefSeq lists it as uncharacterized. Lineage: Eukaryota; Metazoa; Chordata; Actinopteri; Salmoniformes; Salmonidae. The record is from RefSeq and is a predicted model, not a curated record. The transcript is spliced from 3 exons.